This 102-nucleotide transfer RNA is filed under the name Candidatus Aenigmatarchaeota archaeon. Its description in RNAcentral is "tRNA-OTHER". It matches the Rfam family "tRNA". Rfam says of the family: Transfer RNA (tRNA) molecules are approximately 80 nucleotides in length. Their secondary structure includes four short double-helical elements and three loops (D, anti-codon, and T loops). Further hydrogen bonds mediate the characteristic L-shaped molecular structure. tRNAs have two regions of fundamental functional importance: the anti-codon, which is responsible for specific mRNA codon recognition, and the 3' end, to which the tRNAs corresponding amino acid is attached (by aminoacyl-tRNA synthetases). tRNAs cope with the degeneracy of the genetic code in two manners: having more than one tRNA (with a specific anti-codon) for a particular amino acid; and 'wobble' base-pairing, i.e. permitting non-standard base-pairing at the 3rd anti-codon position. The record is from RNAcentral. Lineage: Archaea; Nanobdellati; Candidatus Aenigmatarchaeota.
GCCUCGUUAGCUCAGUUGGUAGAGCGUCAGCGCGUUUCCGAGGAAACGCACCGUCAAACCUUGGUAAGGUGAAGGCCCCGAGUUCGACUCUCGGACGAGGCU